This 267-nucleotide ribosomal RNA is filed under the name uncultured bacterium. RNAcentral's name for it is "partial 16S ribosomal RNA". It matches the Rfam family "Bacterial small subunit ribosomal RNA", at positions 94 to 354 of the family's 1533-position model. The record is from RNAcentral.
AGUGGCGAACGGGUGAGUAACACGUGGGCAACCUGCCCAAAAGAGGGGGGAUAACACUUGGAAACAGGUGCUAAUACCGCAUAACCAUAGUUACCGCAUGGUAACUAUGUAAAAGGUGGCUAUACUACCGCUUUUGGAUGGGCCCGCGGCGCAUUAGCUAGUUGGUAGGGUAAAGGCUUACCAAGGCAAUGAUGCGUAGCCGAAUUGAGAGGUUGAUCGGCCACAUUGGGACUGAGACACGGCCCAAACUCCUACGGAAGGCAGCAG